Molecule: ribosomal RNA, 385 nt
Filed under: uncultured Cedecea sp.
Lineage: Bacteria; Pseudomonadati; Pseudomonadota; Gammaproteobacteria; Enterobacterales; Enterobacteriaceae
Description: bacterial SSU rRNA
Rfam family: Bacterial small subunit ribosomal RNA
Source: RNAcentral
AACGCGAAGAACCUUACCUACUCUUGACAUCCAGAGAACUUAGCAGAGAUGCUUUGGUGCCUUCGGGAACUUUGAGACAGGUGCUGCAUGGCUGUCGUCAGCUCGUGUUGUGAAAUGUUGGGUUAAGUCCCGCAACGAGCGCAACCCUUAUCCUUUGUUGCCAGCGGUUCGGCCGGGAACUCAAAGGAGACUGCCAGUGAUAAACUGGAGGAAGGUGGGGAUGACGUCAAGUCAUCAUGGCCCUUACGAGUAGGGCUACACACGUGCUACAAUGGCGCAUACAAAGAGAAGCGACCUCGCGAGAGCAAGCGGACCUCAUAAAGUACGUCGUAGUCCGGAUUGGAGUCUGCAACUCGACUCCCGUGAAGUCGGAAUCGCUAGUAAU